RNAcentral lists this transfer RNA (65 nucleotides) under Sogata hakonensis. RNAcentral's name for it is "tRNA-Cys". Lineage: Eukaryota; Metazoa; Arthropoda; Insecta; Hemiptera; Delphacidae. The record is from RNAcentral.
GGUCUUAUAUUCAUUUAAUGAUUUUAAAUUGCAAAUUUAAAGGUGUAUUUUUAUUACUAAGAUUU